Molecule: ribosomal RNA, 942 nt
Filed under: Triticum aestivum (bread wheat)
Lineage: Eukaryota; Viridiplantae; Streptophyta; Magnoliopsida; Poales; Poaceae
Description: partial small subunit ribosomal RNA
Source: RNAcentral
AUGGCGACUUUCCCCUUUGACCCUGCGCCCUUUGUGUCGCGAGGUUUCUCUGUGAUUGAAGUGGUUGAUCGUCCGGCUCGUGCUCGUGUGGUCUGUGGAGAUUUUUCAACGGUUAAUGAAGACCUGGCGAUCGUCACUAUUCUUCUGAUGCCCCUCGAUGAGGUACCCUUUGUCAAUGUCAGAGAUGUUUUAGGGGAUUUUCUUUCUCAGAUCAAGCAUGUGGGUUUCAAAUCAAUCACUCCUUGUCCUUUUGGCCAAGCUUUUGUUUGCUUCAAUAGUGUGGCAGAGAGAGAUCUGCUUGUUGACAGUGGUCCGCACAGACAUGAUGAUAUUCACUAUAUUUUUCAAAAGCAUACCCAAGGCCUUAAUUGGAGGAAAUUUCAUUUAGAUAGAGAAGUCUGGCUCCUGUUAGUGGGGUUUCCUGCAGAUCUUAGAUGUAUUCAUGAGUUAGCAAAUUCUGUGAGAAGCUUUGGAAAGAUGUGUGUUUGGGAUAGAGUUAAAUCCUCUGAUGCAGCAGUUUUAAUUAAAGUUUAUGUUGAUGCUCUCAAAGAGAUACCUGCCAGCAUUGUGGUUUCAUCUGACAAAAAAGAAGGAGAAUCUUGGACCUGUCCUGUGAUUAUAAUUCAUGAUAGCCCUGUGGGAGAGGGCCCUCCAGAGGAGGAUCCUAUUCCUGUUGAUGGUAAUCCACAUCCCAGGCCUGAUGAUGAUCACCGCCAUCCAAAUCAAAAUAUGCUUAUUGGACCUUUCUUGGAUGUUCAUAAUCACAAUCAAGAUGCGGGCAAUCAGCAAAAUAAUAACAUUCAAGAGGAGGAGCAGGAUGCAAUGGAUGUGGAGGAUCCUGGUUGGGUCCAUUGGGCCAUGCCAAAUGAGGAGCGGCUAGUUGAUCAAGAGCUUCAUGCAGGGUUCAUGAAGUUCUAUUUGAUCCUAUUGCUGAUGAAGUGA